Molecule: ribosomal RNA, 596 nt
Filed under: Aureobasidium pullulans
Lineage: Eukaryota; Fungi; Ascomycota; Dothideomycetes; Dothideales; Saccotheciaceae
Description: partial large subunit ribosomal RNA
Rfam family: Eukaryotic large subunit ribosomal RNA
Source: RNAcentral
UUGCAUAUCCAAAAGCGGAGGAAAAGAAACCAACAGGGAUUGCCCUAGUAACGGCGAGUGAAGCGGCAACAGCUCAAAUUUGAAAGCUAGCCUUCGGGUUCGCAUUGUAAUUUGUAGAGGAUGAUUUGGGGAAGCCGCCUGUCUAAGUUCCUUGGAACAGGACGUCAUAGAGGGUGAGAAUCCCGUAUGUGACAGGAAAUGGCACCCUAUGUAAAUCUCCUUCGACGAGUCGAGUUGUUUGGGAAUGCAGCUCUAAAUGGGAGGUAAAUUUCUUCUAAAGCUAAAUAUUGGCGAGAGACCGAUAGCGCACAAGUAGAGUGAUCGAAAGAUGAAAAGCACUUUGGAAAGAGAGUUAAAAAGCACGUGAAAUUGUUGAAAGGGAAGCGCUUGCAAUCAGACUUGUUUAAACUGUUCGGCCGGUCUUCUGACCGGUUUACUCAGUUUGGACAGGCCAGCAUCAGUUUCGGCGGCCGGAUAAAGGCUCUGGGAAUGUGGCCUCCACUUCGGUGGAGGUGUUAUAGCCCAGGGUGUAAUACGGCCAGCCGGGACUGAGGUCCGCGCUUCGGCUAGGAUGCUGGCGUACCCAUAUGUGGGUA